RNAcentral lists this small RNA (318 nucleotides) under Oryza sativa Japonica Group (Japanese rice). RNAcentral's name for it is "sRNA Os04g0399200". The record is from RNAcentral. Lineage: Eukaryota; Viridiplantae; Streptophyta; Magnoliopsida; Poales; Poaceae.
UAAAUAUCUGAAAGCAAAAAAAAGAAAAGGCUUGAACGAGCUUAGUUUCUCCAGGAUGUAGUCUGAAAAUUUUGCAAUGCCUGUCAAGUGAACCCCAUGUUUGGUAAUUUAAUCUCUGGGAUUAUGUCAUGACUCUGGUACUUUGUUGGUUGGUCUGGAGAGUAAGAUGAGAUGUAGGGCUACGUGAACAACCGUAUGCUUGGCAUGAAUGAAUUGAUAUUCCUGGUUACCUUGGUUUCCCUUUUCUGCUCUUAUCCCUCUUGAUUUCUCAUGCAGUAAACUUGUUUUGUUUGUCUCAUUUGAUUUGAAACGAAACAU